Molecule: long non-coding RNA, 845 nt
Organism: Oncorhynchus tshawytscha (Chinook salmon)
Lineage: Eukaryota; Metazoa; Chordata; Actinopteri; Salmoniformes; Salmonidae
Source: Ensembl
GUCACCUGCUGCGAGGGGGAACAGAAUGGAGCGUUCCACAGCAAUUUCACUCCUGUGGUUUCCAGGGAAGAGCCUUAGGAGAAUGUGUUAAUCAGCCAGCAAGCAGAGAGGGAACAAGGUGUGCCAUGGGCAGGACAUUGUGGCUCAAUGAGCCAUAGCUCGGGGGACGACGACGACACUUGGAAGCUUUUUGACUGUCCUUGAGAAUGAGGGGCUGAUGAUCGUCUAAAUAUCCAUUUUACCAGCCAUCUCCCACAGGGUGACAUGUCAGUUCUGGAGAGCUUGACAGGGACAAGAGGGGAAUACUGAUGUGGUCAUCAAACGUCUUAUGCGACACUGCGCUAUGAUUACAGCUGUGGGGGAGUUAUUGAGACACAUGAAUGGAGCUGCAGAGCCCGUCAGUGUACUAUAGUUUCAUGGGGCUCCCAUCGCUGCUCCAGCUUAGUAAACCUGUCAGCCGACUGGUCUCUAACCUAAGUUAGAGGUCAGCCUCUCUCUCCCCUGAGGGUUGAACUGCAAAUGGCUUCCAUCUCCGUCCCUCUGCUCACUGGAUAGGCCAUAAAGUAUGUAAAUAGUGGACUGGAGCAGCUGUAAAUAUCCAGUCAUGAACCUGCCUCAGCUUUCCAUUAGGUGAGACACAAAUCUCUAUUGAAGGGACAAAGGUAGGAAAAAGAGCACUAUUAGUCCCCUAUAAUAAGUUAGUGGAUGUGGGUUCAUCUAUAGGCUACUACAUCAAAAAUGGCAGCCUAAUUCCCUAUAUAGUGCACUUAAUUUGUCCAGUUGAAAGUGAUUGCAGUAUAUAGAUAACAGGUAUCUUUUUAGACACACACCCUGGCAAAGGACUC